Molecule: ribosomal RNA, 886 nt
Filed under: uncultured bacterium
Lineage: Bacteria
Description: bacterial SSU rRNA
Rfam family: Bacterial small subunit ribosomal RNA
Source: RNAcentral
GAGUUUGAUCAUGGCUCAGGAUGAACGCUAGCGGGAGGCUUAACACAUGCAAGUCGAGGGGCAGCAUAGGGUAGCAAUACUCUGAUGGCGACCGGCAAACGGGUGAGUAACGCGUAUGUAACCUACCCUGUACAGGGGGAUAACCCGGAGAAAUUCGGACUAAUAUCCCAUAACAAUAUCCGGGGGCAUCUUUGGAUAUUUAAAGUUCCGGCGGCACGGGAUGGGCAUGCGUAACAUUAGCUAGUUGGUAAGGUAACGGCUUACCAAGGCUUUGAUGUUUAGGGGUCCUGAGAGGGUGGUCCCCCACACUGGUACUGAGACACGGACCAGACUCCUACGGGAGGCAGCAGUGAGGAAUACUGGUCAAUGGGCGCAAGCCUGAACCAGCCAUCCCGCGUGCAGGAAGACGGCGCUAUGCGUUGUAAACUGCUUUUCCAGGGAGAGAAACUUGCGCACGUGUUGCGCAAUUGACGGUACCCUGGGAAUAAGCAUCGGCUAACUCCGUGCCAGCAGCCGCGGUAAUACGGAGGAUGCGAGCGUUAUCCGGAUUCAUUGGGUUUAAAGGGUGCGAAGGCGGACUAUUAAGUCAGUGGUGAAAUCCUGCAGCUUAACUGCAGAACUGCCAUUGAUACUGAUAGCCUUGAGUUUGGUUAAGGUAGGCGGAAUGUGUAAUGUAGCGGUGAAAUGCUUAGAUAUUACACAGAACACCAAUUGCGUAGGCAGCUUACUGAGCCGACACUGACGCUGAGGCACGAAAGCGUGGGGAUCGAACAGGAUUAGAUACCCUGGUAGUCCACGCCGUAAACGAUGAUUACUCGCUGUUGGCGAUACACUGUCAGCGGCUAAGCAAAAGCAAUAAGUAAUCCACCUGGGGAGUACGGCCGCA